RNAcentral lists this ribosomal RNA (465 nucleotides) under uncultured bacterium. RNAcentral describes it as "partial 16S ribosomal RNA". It matches the Rfam family "Bacterial small subunit ribosomal RNA", at positions 28 to 507 of the family's 1533-position model. The record is from RNAcentral.
GACGAACGCUGGCGGCGUGCUUAACACAUGCAAGUCGAACGGAAAGGCCCUGCUUGCAGGGUACUCGAGUGGCGAACGGGUGAGUAACACGUGGGUGAUCUGCCCUGCACUUCGGGAUAAGCCUGGGAAACUGGGUCUAAUACCGGAUAUGACCUUCCAUGUAGUGUGGGGGGUGGAAAGAUUUAUCGGUGUGGGAUGAGCCCGCGGCCUAUCAGCUUGUUGGUGGGGUAAUGGCCUACCAAGGCGUCGACGGGUAGCCGGCCUGAGAGGGUGGACGGCCACAUUGGGACUGAGAUACGGCCCAGACUCCUACGGGAGGCAGCAGUGGGGAAUAUUGCACAAUGGGCGGAAGCCUGAUGCAGCGACGCCGCGUGGGGGAUGACGGCCUUCGGGUUGUAAACCUCUUUCGACAGGGACGAAGCUUCGGUGACGGUACCUGUAUAAUAAGCACCGGCUAACUACGUG